GCGCCAGCUGCAGGGCAGAGCAACCCGACAAGGUGACAUUAAACUAGCACACAACCAGCAGAAGACGCAGCCAGCUGCAGCUCCUUUGCGCACAAAGAUGGCUUACUCGGCUGCCACAUGCUCUCCACUCGACGGCGGGCAGCAAGAACUCCAAAGCCAAGCUGGCAAAUGUCAACACAAACAAUGCUAUUGGGCUGAGCUUGUGGUCGGUGGCUGGAGCUGGCGGAGAUGGGCUGAAAGCUGCACUUGGGGGCUUGCCGUCAGCUGGGUGUGCGUCGUGUUAACCCUUUGGUCCGUUCGGCGCUUAGUAAGCCCUACUGAUGUGUCUGCUGCUCUGGUGCUCUGGUAGUCUGGCAGCCUGGUGGUGGGCAGUGGCAAUUGCAGGUGCACCAGGAUGCGAGUGGUUGGUAUCAGCAGGCAACAGCCGGCCACCGCGUCCUGGCGCAUCCUGUGUUCCUUUGACGCCGCCAAGCAUCGCCGCAUGGAAUUUUGCAAUUUCUUUGGGAUUUCGAAAUUGCUUUUUCUACUUUUGCUCAGCUCGCGAGCGUCGCGCCUUUUCUUUUCGUCUGCCACCCCGCCAUCGCUUGAACCAACCGAACGCCAUCAAACUUUACCACCAUUUUACCAGGUGGUUUUUCCAACUCCCACUUCGCAUUCUGCUCAUCCUUCUUAUCCUUCAAUUCGCAUUGUUGGCCUGCGUUUCUUUUGAGGCCAGCAACGGUGUCGGCAGGAGGGAGCGCAACAGAGAGAGAGAGAAGAAAAAAAAUCGAUCAAGAAAAAUGACUUUUGUGGGUUUUCGUAAUUUUCAUUGCACGCGUAAUUGAAAUUUUCAAAUUCCUGCUUGCAUUUUUCUUUGCCCAUCUCCUGCCGUUUCCCUGAGUCCUUAUUCCGCCGCUUAUAUCCAUUUUUAUCAGCGCAGCGGCAGGAAAAGCGGAAUUUAUAUGAUGAUAAAGGAAAAUAGUCCGCCCCCUGACAGCUCUGGGUGUUCCUCUAUUUGCUCCUGUCCCAAGGACUCGCUGCUGCUCGUGGCUGUGUUUCAUUAUGCUUUCAUUAUUUGUCGAAAUUGUGUUAAUCUUUAAACUUUCGAGUUUCGAAAAAUAUUGCACAAAAGCGUUCAAUGUCGGCGCUGAUAAAUUGAUGGCAACUUAAACGACUGCGUGGCCGGAUAAGAAGCUCAAAUAGGCAACUAGUUAUGAAGUAUAAUGGCAAAUGGCUUGGCAAGCAGCUUAAAUAAGGCACUUACUCAGACGAUGUCCUCAAGGACUCAGGAAAAGAGGCCACAGCCCCGCAAGAGGAGGUAGAAGGAGUAGGAGAAGGUAGGGAGCAAGCCCGAGAAAAGCGCAUAUCCCACAACGAUAAUGAAAAUGUCACACGAGCCUCGCAUUUUCUCAUCACCAGCGGACGACGGACGACCAGGCGGGUGAGAAGGCACCGGCACAGGCAGAGGCACAGGCUCUGACACUGGCACAGCUCGAGCCUCGUCCUAGUCCUAGACUGAUGUGCGAGUGCAGUCGGCAAAAGGAGCCAAGAACAGGAACAACAAGAACAACAAUGCCAGGCAACGACAAUGUUGACAACAACAUAAAGGUAAAUCCUAAAUAAUGCGCUGCGCUCACUUCACAACACUGCACGACGGAGUCGCCGCCGUGUUGUGGGAAUUGACCCGUAAGAGAGAAUCCAGCUCAAAAAAGAUAACAGAGAGUGGCACAAGAAAAGCCAGCAGGCAAUGGAGCCGGCAGAAAAACUUGCGCCCUGCUACUUAAAGAGUUUAAUUAAAAUUGGAUCAAAUCAAGGAUCAGCAAAUUCUGAAAUUCCGCGAUUCCAACAGAAGAUUCGAAACAGAAGAACCUUGAGGCAGACAUGCCUCGAGCUAUAAACCGAACAACCGACGACAUUUGUGGUGCUGGCAAGCCAGGAGACGAAAUGCGCAACGUUCCGCUUACGGUCAUCGUUUGGAUGUGGACCCACUCCUCGGCAGGUGCUAAGAAAGCAAAACUCCCGGCGAGCACAGUAUGCGGUUAGCUUUAAGUUCCAGCGAGGCAACUACCCGAAGUACAACAAGGCGAUUAUAGUUUUGCCGCUGCUGCUGUAGACAGACUUAGUGGCUGUCGUAAGUUCUAAUUUCUUAUUAUUAGGCGUGGCCCAGCAGUGCCAGUGGUGCGAGGAGCGUAGGGGGCACCAGAAGAGGGGCUAACCGCACAAGUUUGCUGCUGUGGCAUAAAAUUAUGGCCCCAACUACCGCCGCUGCAUAUGAAAAUGGCGGCUGGCAAAUAGUUUGAGCAAACUAUUUCUUUGCCGUGCUCUCGAGUCAGUUCUUGCGUUCGGUGUUUUUGUUGUUGUUGUUGUUGUUGUUUUUGUUUUUGUUGGUGGUGCCGCUGCUGCUGUGGUUGACUUUGUUAUGGAGCUUCGGUUUUGCUUUUAUGUCUUAUGGUUUUGUUAGCUGGUCGCCAUAUUGGUUGCACGCCGGGCAGAUUGCAAUUGCAGAGCCUACUUUUUAGGGACUGGGCAGAAAGUUUUGCAUUUGCAGCUCGGCGUUGGGGAUUUAAUUAAAGCGGCGAUUGGAAUCUGCGAAGCAACUGCUUGGCCUGGCCAAAUGUCGACUUGGCACCCAACUCAAACUCGAGCUUAACCAGGUUAACAGAGAAGUUUCUACAGGCAUACAAUGAAAGUCAAUUCAGCUGUCAAAUUAAACAAUUGUACAAUGCAGCAAAUGAAGCACGAGGCAAGUGGGCAAAAACUAAGCACCAAACAAUGACGCAUUGCCAGUAAAAAGUGCAAAGUGGAAAGUGGAAAGUGCAAGGCAAUAAACCCACACAGCAGCAGAGCAAAAAAAAAAUUGAAAAACAGACAAAGGAACGCCAAGAAAAUUCACAAAAAAAAGGCGAACUGCUUCAGCUGUAGAGGAUAUGGAUGCGAAUCAGAAUGAAAAUGACGAUGACGAUGAGGAUGAGAAUGAAAAUGAGGAUGGGCUUGCCAAUGGGGGUUAGCCCAAGCCCAUUAUUGUUUCCAUUUAACUUACAACAUUUUGCACUUUGGCCAGCCAUUGAAAAUCAGCGUCAGGAAGACAUACGAGGGCCAAAAUAGAUCAAGGAGCGGACGCUGAACAAAAAAAUGGCUAAGAAAAUUGUGUGUGAAAAUGAAACUGAUUGAAAAUAGACUGACUUGAAAAAGGGCUGCACCUAAACAAAUACUUGGAGGUGCUGCGAAUUAAAUGAAGCUUGUCAAUUGCUUGAUCGAAUGCAGUUCUAGCAAAGUUUUGUGGUUACCGAUAGCUAUUAGCCGAGCAGAGUUAACUAUUCAACACUUAAACUGCUUAAUCGAGCAGUUUCCCAACACUACAAGGAUUUACUUCUUUCUCUGCGUCAUGCCUUGUCCUAAAGCUGGCCCUCCAGUCGCUAGUAGCUGCUGUCACAACUUUACCUCCAUGAAUAUUAUUAUCACGAACGUCCGCGCCGUCGCCGUCUCCAUCACAGUCUGAUGUCGCGACGCGUUGCCGGAGGGUUCUGCGUUCCCCUUUCCUAACAAAAAAAGAAAGUUGCACCGCUUUCAUGACAAUGAUGACGGCGUCUGUUUCCGCUUUUGACGCAGUUGCCGCCGCCAUUUUAGGCGCUUUCUGUGUAGCCGUAGCUUUGCAGUAUUCCCGAUUCGUGUUUUUUUCUUCCUCUUUGUGGCCUGCAGCAUUUGUCUCGGACUGAGCCUAGGUUUUCGCUCCUUUGCUAUAUAUUCUGUUUUUUGCUGCAACAACAACAACAACAACAGCAGCAGAAGCAGCAGCAGCAACAAUUACAACUUUAACGGCUACAAGUUUGCAACAGACAAACGUUGGCAGCGCCGCCGCCGUCGCCGCCGUUGCGCAAACGUUGUGCAAACUUUUCCACUUCAUUGCAUGAUUGCAAUUUUUACGCAAAACAAUUUUAUUUGUUUGAUUUUUGUUUUGUUUGCAUGCGACUGUUGCACUGUACCACGGCCGAUUGUCGCAAAGGUCUGGGGCAUGCGACUAUCCGAUCGAAUGGGGUAAACAUCAAGAUUUGCAUUAAAUGAAAAGAAAAAUUUUAGUUUAAUUGAAAAAGGGGCUCUGUAACACAAGCAUUGUUAUGAAAAGCAAGAGAUUGUUCAAGGCAUUCCA
Long non-coding RNA from Drosophila novamexicana, 4126 nucleotides. RefSeq lists it as uncharacterized. The transcript is spliced from 4 exons. The record is from RefSeq and is a predicted model, not a curated record. Lineage: Eukaryota; Metazoa; Arthropoda; Insecta; Diptera; Drosophilidae.